CUAUCCUUGGAUUCUGCUAUACCUUGACUUCUGCCUUCAAGUGUGAGACUACCGAUUGCUUGAAACGAUACGUCAUGCAUAGAGGAACUCUAAUCUGUUUCAACUUGCUUGUGCAGUUCUUGUCUGGUGGACAAUCUGAGGUCGAAGCAACUUUGAACUUGAAUGCCAUGAACCAGAGCCCCAACCCAUGGCACGUGUCUUUCUCAUACGCCCGUGCCCUUCAGAACUCUGUCUUGAAGACAUGGAAGGGACAGCCAGAGAAUGUGGAGGCUGCCCAGAGGGCACUCCUUGUGCGUGCUAAGGCUAACUCUUUGGCUCAGUUGGGUAAGUACUCCGCUGAGGGCGAGGCUG
RNAcentral lists this long non-coding RNA (351 nucleotides) under Physcomitrium patens. RNAcentral describes it as "long non-coding RNA (PPAT_LNC012224)". The record is from RNAcentral. Lineage: Eukaryota; Viridiplantae; Streptophyta; Bryopsida; Funariales; Funariaceae.